AUGGCGUUUAGCUGCCCACGGUAGG
RNAcentral lists this non-coding RNA (25 nucleotides) under Mus musculus (house mouse). The record is from RNAcentral. Lineage: Eukaryota; Metazoa; Chordata; Mammalia; Rodentia; Muridae.